RNAcentral lists this ribosomal RNA (279 nucleotides) under uncultured bacterium. Its description in RNAcentral is "partial 16S ribosomal RNA". It matches the Rfam family "Bacterial small subunit ribosomal RNA", at positions 506 to 784 of the family's 1533-position model. The record is from RNAcentral.
UGCCAGCAGCCGCGGUAACACGGGGGGCGCAAGCGUUAUUCGGAAUUAUUGGGCGUAAAGCGUAUGUAGGCGGUCAGAUAAGUCAGACGUGUAAGCCCUCGGCUCAACCGAGGAAUUGCGUUUGAAACUAUCUGACUUGAGUGUAGAAAAGGAAAGCGGAAUUCCCAGUGUAGCGGUGAAAUGCGUUGAUAUUGGGAAGAACAUCUGUGGCGAAGGCGGCUUUCUGGUCUAUUACUGACGCUGAGAUACGAAAGCCAGGGUAGCGAACGGGAUUAGAUA